UUCUUAUCUUCUUGUUUUCAUUCUUUUUCUUCUUCAUUUCGGCCGAUCACCAAAUUUUGAAAAAAAAUUCGUCGACGAGCUUUUUCUUCGAAUCAAAGCCUCAAAAUCCUUCAUCCCAAGCUCUUGAGUGUGGUGGCGGAGCUUCCUCCCGGGGAAGGAAAUUGCCGACCUGUAAGCGCAUCUAAAAGCGAGACGACGGGUUUAGUCCGCCACUGCAGUGGAGGGGUCCCACGUUCCGGCCUAAUGGGCGGCGCCGUAGUCAACCCUGAGUUUACCCUGGUCAAGAGGUGCACGGAGCCAUUAACAGGGGGGGCCUUUUAUGUGAGAAACCCGGGGUCACCACAUGGGAAUCUCAUUGGCCAACACCAAGGAAGGCAGUAUUGUGAAUUUUAAAAGUCUAAAAACACCUUGGUGGUCCCGUAGCUAGUCGCGGCCACGAUUAGCUUGGGAAUUGUCUGAGGCCUGCCUGUAUUUUUGAGCAAUGCUCAAUGUGUUGAAAAAUGUUACUUACCUGUACUAUUUAUGAAUCAUUGUGUUAUCUGUUAACUUGUUGGAU
Dioscorea cayenensis subsp. rotundata (Guinea yam) is the source of this 556-nucleotide long non-coding RNA. RefSeq lists it as uncharacterized. The record is from RefSeq and is a predicted model, not a curated record. NCBI's taxonomy places the organism in Eukaryota, Viridiplantae, Streptophyta, Magnoliopsida, Dioscoreales, Dioscoreaceae. The transcript is spliced from 3 exons.